AUACUUACCUGGCAGGGGAAAUACCAUGAUCACAAAGGUGGUUUUCCCAGGGCCAGGCUUAUCCAUUGCACUCCAGAUGUGCUGACCCCUGUGGUUUCCCCAAAUGUGGGAAACUCAACUGCAUAAUUUGUAGUAGUAGGGGAUUGCAUUUGUGCUCUCCCCUA
This is a small nuclear RNA of Choloepus hoffmanni (Hoffmann's two-fingered sloth), 164 nucleotides long. Its record names the gene U1. It matches the Rfam family "U1 spliceosomal RNA". From Rfam's summary of the family: U1 is a small nuclear RNA (snRNA) component of the spliceosome (involved in pre-mRNA splicing). Its 5' end forms complementary base pairs with the 5' splice junction, thus defining the 5' donor site of an intron. The record is from Ensembl. NCBI's taxonomy places the organism in Eukaryota, Metazoa, Chordata, Mammalia, Pilosa, Megalonychidae.